This 460-nucleotide ribosomal RNA is filed under the name uncultured bacterium. RNAcentral's name for it is "partial 16S ribosomal RNA". It matches the Rfam family "Bacterial small subunit ribosomal RNA", at positions 338 to 795 of the family's 1533-position model. The record is from RNAcentral.
CCUACGGGUGGCAGCAGUGAGGAAUAUUGGUCAAUGGACGCAAGUCUGAACCAGCCAUGCCGCGUGCAGGAAGACGGCUCUAUGAGUUGUAAACUUCUUUUGUACGAGGGUAAAUCCCGAUACGUGUAUCUGUUUGAAAGUAUCUUACGAAUAAGGAUCGGCUAACUCCGUGCCAGCAGCCGCGGUAAUACGGAGGAUUCAAGCGUUAUCCGGAUUUAUUGGGUUUAAAGGGUGCGUAGACGGUUCGAUAAGUUAGUGGUGAAAUCCUGCGGCUCAACCCCGGAACUGCCAUUGAUACUGGCGGGCUAGAGUUUAGUUGAGGUAGGCGGAAUGUGUGGUGUAGCGGUGAAAUGCAUAGAGAUCAUGAAGAACACCGAUUGCGAAGGCAGCUUACCAAACUACGACUGACGUUGAGGCACGAAAGCGUGGGGAGCAAACAGGAUUAGAUACCCGAGUAGUC